CGAGCGGCCGGCAGCGGCUGCACCCGCCUCCCGCUUCCCCGCCGGCGGCCGGGCCGCAGCCCGCUCCUCCCGGCGGUUCCGCCGCGCUCGUUUCCUUCCCGAGGCGGGCGCUAGCAGCGCCCUCGCCCGCUGAGGACACCCGGGAGGUUGCGCCGCUGCCCACGUUGACUGGCGGCCGUUGGCGCACCGCAGGGGGCACCGAGACCGGAGCUGGCCGGCCGGGAGCUGCCGGAACGGACGCUGCGUUCCCACGCCCUCUCUCCGGCGGGGUCGGCAGAGAAGGGGCUGAGGAGGGAACCUGCGCGCACGGCGUCCCCCGCAUUGUGUGAAGCCUGCAUGGGUACGGCGCGGGGGCGCGGCUGUGGUGCUCCGCCGAGCCUCCCUCCCUCCCUCCCCGGCAUCGCCCGUGGCUGGGAGGCGCCGAGCUGAGCCGUGAGGGAUGCUUUUGUGCGCGGCUGCGAGGGGAGCAGCGGGUAACGGCGGAGCGAGCGGUAGCCCAGGCUGCGGUUGCGAGAGGAGGUCGGGCGCCGCGGUUACCCGCAGCCCUCCCGGCGAGGGAGGCCGGGCGCGAUGCUGAAUUAGGCGACCGGAGCCCUUGCAAGCGCGUGGGACUGGCUUAGUAGCCUGUAGCCGGCCCGGGAGGGCGAGCAGGCGGCUCCCCAUGGCGAGCAACCGGAGCAUCGAACUGGAGCACUUCGAGGAGCGGGACAAGAGGCAGCAGCGCGCUGGGCCGCGCCGCGGCGGUUCCGGCUCCGGCGGCGGAGCGGGGCCGCGGGGCAACGGGCUGAUCCCCAGCCCGGCGCACAGCGCUCACUGCAGUCUGUACCGGACGCGGACCCUGCAGGCGCUCAGCUCGGAGAAGAAAGCCCGGAAAGCUCGCUUCUACCGCAAUGGGGACAGGUAUUUCAAGGGCUUGGUGUAUGCCAUCUCUACUGACCGCUUCCGCUCCUUCGAUGCCCUGCUCGUUGAACUCACCCGGUCCCUGUCGGACAACGUGAACCUGCCCCAGGGUGUCCGCACCAUCUACACCAUUGAUGGCAGCAAGAAGCUCACCAGCCUGGACGAGCUGGUGGAAGGUGAAAGUUAUGUAUGUGCAUCCAAUGAACCAUAUCGCAAAGUUGAUUACACCAAGAAUGUCAAUCCAAACUGGUGUGUGAACAUAAGGACUGGGUCCACUCGAUCCUUGACAUCUUUGACAUCCACAAAGAGUGAAGUGAAGGAGAGUAAAGAUUUCAUUAAACCCAAAUUAGUGACUGUUAUUAGGAGUGGAGUAAAACCACGGAAAGCUGUGAGAAUUCUGCUGAAUAAGAAGACUGCUCACUCCUUUGAACAGGUCUUGACUGACAUCACAGAAGCCAUUAAAUUAGAUUCGGGUGUAGUCAAGAGACUUUGUACACUGGAUGGAAAGCAGGUGACAUGCUUGCAGGACUUCUUUGGAGAUGAUGACGUCUUCAUUGCGUGUGGGCCUGAGAAAUACCGGUAUGCUCAGGACGACUUCGUGUUGGAUCACAGCGAAUGCCGUGUUAUGAAGUCCUCUUAUUCCCGAUCAUCUGGCUUGAGGCAUUCUGGGUCCAAAAGUCCAGGAACUUCACGUCGAAGCAAAUCACCUGCCUCAGUUAAUGGAACCCCAAGCAGUCAAUUGUCCACCCCAAAGUCAACAAAGUCCUCAAGUUCUUCACCAACAAGCCCAGGCAGCUUUCGUGGACUGAAGAUGCCUCCACAUGGUGGACCUUCUUCCAAUGUGAAUGGUGUACCUGAAUCACUUCAUUGCCAGAGCCCUGAAGGUGUGAAUGGAAACAAGUGCUCAGUGUCAUCUCCCAUUCUUGAGAAGUACAAAGUGGGGAAGGUGAUUGGUGAUGGCAAUUUUGCUGUUGUAAAGGAGUGCAUAGAGCGAUCCACAGGAAAGGAGUUUGCACUGAAGAUCAUAGACAAGGCUAAAUGCUGUGGAAAGGAACACCUGAUUGAAAAUGAAGUGUCUAUUCUGCGUCGAGUGAAGCAUCCAAAUAUCAUUAUGCUUAUAGAGGAAAUGGACACCCCAACAGAACUCUACCUGGUGAUGGAACUGGUCAAGGGAGGAGAUCUAUUUGAUGCUAUCACUUCCUCUACAAAAUAUACAGAGCGAGAUGGGAGUGCAAUGGUCUACAAUCUGGCCAGCGCACUCAAAUACCUCCAUGGUCUCAACAUUGUACACAGAGACAUCAAGCCAGAAAAUCUCCUGGUAUGUGAGUAUCCCGAUGGAACCAAGUCUUUGAAGCUAGGAGACUUUGGGCUGGCAACUGUGGUCGAAGGACCUUUAUAUACUGUCUGUGGUACACCCACGUAUGUGGCUCCAGAAAUCAUUGCAGAGACAGGUUAUGGCUUAAAGGUGGAUAUUUGGGCUGCAGGUGUGAUCACAUACAUACUGUUAUGUGGAUUUCCACCUUUUCGCAGUGAAAACAACCUUCAGGAAGACCUCUUUGAUCAGAUACUUGUUGGGAAGCUGGAAUUUCCUUCUCCCUACUGGGAUAACAUCACUGAUUCAGCAAAGGAGUUAAUUAGCCUGAUGCUACAUGUGAAUGCUGAAGCCCGAUAUACAGCAGCACAGAUCCUAAGCCAUCCCUGGGUGUCAGAUGAUGCUUCCCAGGAGAAUAAUAUGCAAGCUGAAGUAACAGGUAAACUGAAGCAGCACUUUAAUAACACUCUGCCCAAGCAAAAUAACACAUCUGCUGGGGUUUCUGUCAUCAUGUUUGACUUGACAGUUUGAGAGGGACUUCAGAGCUUCAUUCUUUAUUCUGUUGAGACUAUGGAUAAGCCUGAAGCUGAAAACUGAACACAGCUCUAGAUAAAGAGAGUCAGAUUUUCUGCAGCAAGCGCAGUCAGGACUCCGGUAGAGCUGGAAUGGAGAAAAUUUCUGCAAUUACUGCUGCAGCUGACGAUCCUCAUGUGGCUGGGUCCAAGACCCUCUUCCCUGCUGCUUCUGAGCCACUCCAAUCCCCCACGCUCCCCGCCUCAGUGUCUCCUGAGUUUUCUGGGGAUCAGCCUGGUGCGUACGACUGAUGGAACCAAACGCGACUGAAGCUCCCUGCACUCUCGCCACAGUUUUCAUUUCACGUGACAGUUUGCUUUCAGUUGGCAUGCACCCUCUCGUGGCGAGCCCGAGGCGGGCUCUGUCGUGGGAGACUGAUUUUGUAAUAGUGGCCAAGCAAAGGUGUGUUUUGAGUGCUCUUUGCCCUUGAGAAUAGCAGUAGAGGAAAGAUUCUGGCAGUUCUGGUUAUCUGUGUUAGUUUAAUUCACUGCAUCUCACACAGCCUUGAGCUCUAAAUAGACUAACUUAUCGUGUAGCUAACCAUAUUUUUAUAUACGAAGUGAGAGGUGAACAGUUACCUGGCCUCACCUCUACAAGCAGGCCCCUUUCUGUUCUGCUUGUGAGAAUUCUCAGAAAAGCGGGAGAGGAAGACAAGGGAAACAAACUUACAUUCACCUGUUCUGACGCCUCUGUUUUUAGCCAAGUUUCUACUAAACUAGAAGAAGCAAAUUUUCACAAAAAAAAUUUUUAGUGGACUAACUGUAAAAUAUCGUGAAACAAACACUGGAGAUAGAGGGAAGGAUGGUCUUUUUUUUUGCGUCGGGUUUGUUAUUGGACUUGCAGGCUGCAGGGUAGUGCUUAGAUAAUAUGAAUUUAAAUAAAAUUAAUUGGGAUGUAAACAUGAGCACUGGACAUUUAUGUGUAAUGAAGAUCAGAGGCAAGGAAGUAUUUUGGUCAAGCCAUUUUCUAUCCUAACCACAAGUAUCCCAUCCAUACCUUUCUUGAGGGUCAGACUACCUAUUAGAUAAAAUGACUUUGGACCUGUGAACGAAAGCCUGUUGCAUGUUCUCUAAGCUGGGAUGGAUGGAGCAGUUCCUAGUUCUAGGGUGAGCUGAUAGAGGAGCUACUACGAAUAACCACCAUCAAUAGCUGUCAAGAGGUUUGUCAGUGCUAUUCCCCCCUCUACACCUGGUGCAGGCACUGGAAACAGGGACUGGGGAGAAGUUAUCCUUAAUCUGUAGUCACAGAUAGAUGAGGUUUUACAUUUACCAUAAUGCUUAGUUCAAUAUAGGAUGUAUUCAGCUUAUUCUUUUCCUUUGCUUGUUCUUACGAAUUGGUCAUAGUUCAUUUUUUUCUUAGCUAUACUUUCUACUAGAAUUGUAAACGAAAGACCUGCAAUAAACUUUCUUCAUUUAAAACAAGAAAAA
Molecule: RNA transcript, 4212 nt
Organism: Columba livia (rock pigeon)
Lineage: Eukaryota; Metazoa; Chordata; Aves; Columbiformes; Columbidae
Gene: DCLK2
Gene name: doublecortin like kinase 2
Exons: 17
Source: RefSeq, a predicted model, not a curated record